CAACUUUCAGCAACGGAUCUCUUGGCUCUCGCAUCGAUGAAGAACGCAGCGAAAUGCGAUAAGUAAUGUGAAUUGCAGAAUUCAGUGAAUCAUCGAAUCUUUGAACGCACCUUGCGCCCUUUGGCCAUUCUGAAGGGCAUGCCUGUUUGAGUAUCAUGAACACCCUCAACUC
RNAcentral lists this ribosomal RNA (172 nucleotides) under Thelephora dominicana. RNAcentral describes it as "5.8S ribosomal RNA". It matches the Rfam family "5.8S ribosomal RNA". From Rfam's summary of the family: 5.8S ribosomal RNA (5.8S rRNA) is a component of the large subunit of the eukaryotic ribosome. It is transcribed by RNA polymerase I as part of the 45S precursor that also contains 18S and 28S rRNA. The record is from RNAcentral. Lineage: Eukaryota; Fungi; Basidiomycota; Agaricomycetes; Thelephorales; Thelephoraceae.